AUUGAACGCUGGCGGCAGGCCUAACACAUGCAAGUCGAACGAGUGGCGGACGGGUGAGUAAUGUCUGGGAAACUGCCUGAUGGAGGGGGAUACCUACUGGAAACGGUAGCUAAUCCCGCAUACCAUCGGAUGUGCCCAGAUGGGCUUAGCUAGUAGGUGGGGUAACGGCUCACCUAGGCGACGAUCCCUAGCUGGUCUGGGAGGAUGACCGGCCACACUGGAACUGAGAAACGGUCCAGAUUCCUACGGAAGGCAGCAGUGGGGAAUAUUGCACAAGGGGCGCAAUCCUGAUGCGGACAUGCCGCGGGUAUGAAGAAGGCCUUCGGGUGGUAAAGUACUUUCAGCGGGGAGGCGUUACCCGCAGAAGAAGCACCGGCUAACUCCGUGCCAGCAGCCGCGGUAAUUC
Molecule: ribosomal RNA, 406 nt
Filed under: uncultured bacterium
Lineage: Bacteria
Description: partial 16S ribosomal RNA
Rfam family: Bacterial small subunit ribosomal RNA
Source: RNAcentral